Symsagittifera roscoffensis is the source of this 73-nucleotide non-coding RNA. Lineage: Eukaryota; Metazoa; Xenacoelomorpha; Acoela; Convolutidae. The record is from the annotation of a RefSeq genome assembly.
GUCCUCAUGGCCAAGUGGAUACGGCGCUUGCCUCCGGAGCAAGAGAUCGUGGGUUCGAACCCCACUGAAGACU